CAGUAGCCGCGGGAAUACGUAGGUGGCAAGCGUUGUCCGGAAUUAUUGGGCGUAAAGGGCUCGCAGGCGGUUUCUUAAGUCUGAUGUGAAAGCCCCCGGCUCAACCGGGGAGGGUCACUGGAAACUGGGAAACUUGAGUGCAGAAGAGGAGAGUGGAAUUCCACGUGUAGCGGUGAAAUGCGUAGAGAUGUGGAGGAACACCAGUGGCGAAGGCGACUCUCUGGUCUGUAACUGACGCUGAGGAGCGAAAGCGUGGGGAGCGAACAGGAUUAGAUACCCGGGUAGUCCCUGUCUCUUAUAC
RNAcentral lists this ribosomal RNA (301 nucleotides) under uncultured bacterium. RNAcentral's name for it is "partial 16S ribosomal RNA". It matches the Rfam family "Bacterial small subunit ribosomal RNA", at positions 509 to 807 of the family's 1533-position model. The record is from RNAcentral.